CGUGGGCAACCUGCCCCUAGCUCUGGGAUAAGCCCGGGAAACCGGGUCUAAUACCGGAUACGAGAUCGGAAGGCAUCUUCUGAUUUGGAAAGUUUCUCGGCUAGGGAUGGGCCCGCGGCCUAUCAGCUUGUUGGUGGGGUAACGGCCUACCAAGGCGACGACGGGUAGCCGGCCUGAGAGGGCGACCGGCCACACUGGGACUGAGACACGGCCCAGACUCCUACGGGAGGCAGCAGUGGGGAAUAUUGCACAAUGGGCGAAAGCCUGAUGCAGCGACGCCGCGUGAGGGAUGACGGCCUUCGGGUUGUAAACCUCUUUCAGCAGGGACGAAGCGAAAGUGACGGUACCUGCAGAAGAAGCACCGGCCAACUACGUGCCAGCAGCCGCGGUAAUACGUAGGGUGCAAGCGUUGUCCGGAAUUAUUGGGCGUAAAGAGCUCGUAGGCGGUUUGUCACGUCGGCUGUGAAAACCUGGGGCUCAACC
Molecule: ribosomal RNA, 483 nt
Filed under: uncultured Sporichthya sp.
Lineage: Bacteria; Bacillati; Actinomycetota; Actinomycetes; Sporichthyales; Sporichthyaceae
Description: bacterial SSU rRNA
Rfam family: Bacterial small subunit ribosomal RNA
Source: RNAcentral